This 253-nucleotide ribosomal RNA is filed under the name uncultured bacterium. Its description in RNAcentral is "partial 16S ribosomal RNA". It matches the Rfam family "Bacterial small subunit ribosomal RNA", at positions 524 to 776 of the family's 1533-position model. The record is from RNAcentral.
GACAGAGGAUGCAAGCGUUAUCCGGAAUGAUUGGGCGUAAAGCGUCUGUAGGUGGCUUUUUAAGUCUGCCGUCAAAUCCCAGGGCUCAACCCUGGACAGGCGGUGGAAACUACCAAGCUGGAGUACGGUAGGGGCAGAGGGAACUUCCGGUGGAGCGGUGAAAUGCGUAGAUAUCGGAAGGAACGCCGGUGGCGAAAGCGGCGUGCUGGACCCCUUCUGACGCUGAGGCGCGAAAGCCAGGGGAGCGAACGGG